RNAcentral lists this long non-coding RNA (948 nucleotides) under Rattus norvegicus (Norway rat). RNAcentral's name for it is "long non-coding RNA NONRATT016500". The record is from RNAcentral. Lineage: Eukaryota; Metazoa; Chordata; Mammalia; Rodentia; Muridae.
AAUGGUCAGCAUAGUCCAAGCCCCCCUGAGAUUGAAAGAUGUACUUAUCCUUUUUUUCCUGGAACAAAGCUUACCCCAAUUAGUAUGUAUUCUUUAAAAUCCAAUCAUUUUAAUUCUGCAGUGAUGCAUUUGGAUUAUUACUGCAACAAAAAUAAUUGGGCACCACCAGAAUAUUAUUUAUAUUCAACAACCAGUCAGGAUGGAAAAGUACUCUUGGUGUAUAAAAUAGUUAUUCCUGCAAUUGCAAAUGGAUCCCAGAGUUACUUCAUGCCAGAUAAACUCUGCACAACGCUGGAGGAUGCAAAGGAACUGGCAGCUCAGUUUACACUGCUUCAUUUGGACAGGGAACACAGUCUCUUCAGCCUGGACCUGUGUAGAAGAAUUUGGAGGAAAUAAGCAGGUCCUUUCUGAUGUUGCUUGAGCUUAUUCUCCUGCAGUUGGUCUCAUUCCUGUUCGUUAAACAUUAAGUUUCUUCAUGUGUUAUAGACCUCAUAGUGAAUGAUAUUGGAGAGUGAAAGCUUGACCUGUAUAUUAAAUGAUCUCAUUCCAUUUCUUUCAUUCCAACAAUAGCACAACUUUGAUAAACGAUCAUUUUACAGACACAGUCACCACUUUGACUUAUGCUGUAGUAAAGAGCAUAGUUGAGUUUUUGGAAAGUACAGGAUCUACAAAUUUGGUCAAUAAAACACACACAUACAAAAUUACUACAAUUAAGGAAGCAGGAAAUUAUUGGUACAUGAGAUGAACGUUUGUUUGAAAUUAAUAUUUCAAAUAUAAUUGUUUGAAUAAUUUGGUUAAUUUUGGAUAAUUUUCUAUACUAUUAAGUUGAUAAUGGUUUUGACGUUCUUUUGGUAGAGAUGAUUCAUCUUAGUUUUGUGGUACCAGGGAGACUCUAAUGUUAAAUUGAUGUUUGGUUGUAUGAAUGUUUGUGCCAGCAUUUAAAUAAUG